UAAUACGUAGGGUGCGAGCGUUAAUCGGAAUUACUGGGCGUAAAGCGUGCGCAGGCGGUUUGGUAAGACAGGCGUGAAAUCCCCGGGCUCAACCUGGGAACUGCGCUUGUGACUGCCUCACUAGAGUACGGCAGAGGGGGGUGGAAUUCCACGUGUAGCAGUGAAAUGCGUAGAGAUGUGGAGGAACACCGAUGGCGAAGGCAGCCCCCUGGGCCGAUACUGACGCUCAUGCACGAAAGCGUGGGUAGCAAACAGGAUUAGAUACCCUGGUAGUCCACGCCCUAAACGAUGUCAACUAGUUGUUGGGGGGGUAAAACCCUUUAGUAACGUAGCUAACGCGUGAAGUUGACCGCCUGGGGAGUACGGCCGCAAGGUUAAAACUCAAAGGAAUUGACGG
This 397-nucleotide ribosomal RNA is filed under the name bacterium enrichment culture. RNAcentral describes it as "bacterial SSU rRNA". It matches the Rfam family "Bacterial small subunit ribosomal RNA", at positions 521 to 916 of the family's 1533-position model. The record is from RNAcentral.